CCUGAUGCAGCCAUGCCGCGUGUGUGAAGAAGGCCUUCGGGUUGUAAAGCACUUUCAGUCAGGAGGAAGGUGGUGUAGCUAAUAUCUGCACCAAUUGACGUUACUGACAGAAGAAGCACCGGCUAACUCCGUGCCAGCAGCCGCGGUAAUACGGAGGGUACAAGCGUUACUCGGAAUCACUGGGCGUAAAGAGCACGUAGGCGGCCUUGCAAGUCAGAUGUGAAAUCCAACGGCUUAACCGUUGAACUGCAUUUGAAACGGGAAGGCUAGCGUAUGGGAGAGGUAGGUGGAAUUCUCGGUGUAGGGGUAAAAUCCGUAGAGAUCGAGAGGAAUACUCAUUGCGAAGGCGACCUGCUGGAACAUUACUGACGCUGAGGUGCGAAAGCGUGGGGAGCAAACA
RNAcentral lists this ribosomal RNA (400 nucleotides) under uncultured Wolinella sp. Its description in RNAcentral is "bacterial SSU rRNA". It matches the Rfam family "Bacterial small subunit ribosomal RNA", at positions 382 to 774 of the family's 1533-position model. The record is from RNAcentral. Lineage: Bacteria; Pseudomonadati; Campylobacterota; Epsilonproteobacteria; Campylobacterales; Helicobacteraceae.